CUUGUAGGGUUUUAUUCCAAAGCGCGUUCCCAAAUCAUUCUUUCUCUAGGGUUUACACUUCUCUCAGGGUCGCUACCAUGGAUCUAACAAAGAAACGCAAGGCUGAUGAGAACGGCGGUGCUUAUCCCAUAUCCAGUGAACUCGUCACAACUACCGCCGCUCCUCCGGCACUCGGUAUUCUUUCACCUGAAGACAUCGACAAAAUUCUUGAAACAUUCACCAAAGACCAGUGCGUUUCAAUUCUCCGUAACGCCUCCCUUCGCUACCCCGAUGUCCUGGAAGCUGUACGUUCUGUCGCUGACGCCGACAUAUCUCAGCGCAAACUCUUCGUUCGUGGUCUUGGUUGGGAGACCACCACCGACAAGCUCCGACAGGUUUUUUCUGUUUAUGGAGAGCUAGACGAGGCUAUAGUUAUAACAGACAAGGCCUCCGCCAAAUCUAAAGGAUAUGGUUUUGUAACUUUCAAGCACGUUGAUGCUGCUAUUCUUUCUUUAAAGGAGCCCAACAAGAAAAUUGAUGGCCGUAUUACCGUGACACAGCUUGCAGCUGCGGGUAAUUCGGGGAAUUCACAGUCUGCUGAUGUUGCCCUUAGGAAGAUCUAUGUUGGUAAUGUUCCAUUUGAUAUUUCCUCCGAGAAGCUUUUGAAUCACUUUUCUAUGUAUGGAGAGAUUGAAGAGGGGCCUUUGGGAUUUGAUAAACAAACUGGAAAAGCCAAAGGUUUUGCUUUUUUUGUGUACAAGACUGAGGAGGGAGCUAGGGCUUCUUUAGUUGAUCCGGUGAAGACAAUAGAAGGACAUCAGGUGUUGUGUAAAUUGGCAACCGAUAAUAAGAAGGGGAAGACCCAGAAUAUGGGGCCUGGAGGUGCCCCUGGAAUGCCGAAUGCUGGACCUACAGGAAUGCCUGGUGAUGAUAGGGUUGGAUCGAUGCCCGGUUCAAAUUAUGGUGUUCCUGUAAGCGGGUUGGGUCCAUAUCCAGGGUUUUCAGGUGGGCCUGGUCCAGGAAUGCAGCAGCCACCACCUCAGCCUGGAAUGGUGGCACAUCAGAAUCCACAUCUGAAUUCAGCUAUUGGUGGGCCUGGAUAUGGAAACCAAGGACCGGGAUCCUUCACAGGUGGUGCUGGUGGAUAUGCUGGCGCUGGUGGGUAUGGUGGUGCUUCUGGGGAUUACAGUGGAUACAGGAUGCCUCAAAGCUCUGCUGGAAUGCCUAGUUCAGGAGGUUAUACAGAUGGUGGUAAUUAUGGUUUACAGUCGGCUUAUCCCUCACAGGUACCACAACCAGGAGCCGGGUCAAGGGUUCCACCAGGUGGUAUGUACCAGGGCAUGCCUCCAUAUUACUGAGAUGUCUGUGUGUGUGUUUUAAAGCAUUUGGACAAGGGGCUGCAGAUUGGAAGGUUUAUUUGCUUUACCACUGAUCUUCUGGCUCCUGGAUAUCAGUGUCUUGAGAGCUUCUUGGACGCAACAUGCUUUAAAUGGUUGUGGUGAUUUCCUGAUUGCAGACUCUGAAAUCUUUGGUUACAUGGACUGCUGUGCAUCUGUUGCUGCUUCACCUAUCUGCUCUUAUGUGUGGCUGUUAGUUGAUAUUUGCUAGUAUUAAGUUAGUACUUAGGUUACUUCAAAAAUUGCUGUAUCUUUUGAUUAGCGUAUUGAGGAUUGAUGUCAGUUUUGUUAUCAAAUAUUUCAUGUACUUCCUGUUUCUUGUACGUUCCCUAUCUGACGAAUGUGACCAUUUAGCUCUUCUAUCAUUUUAUGUUCAGCCAUUAUUGGCUUAACUUUCUGUAUGUAGACUACAGGGGAUCAUUAUGAUAUUGUCAGAUACUGCUGAUCCGAAACAAAUUAUUCGAUGUGAACAA
Molecule: RNA transcript, 1849 nt
Organism: Solanum dulcamara
Lineage: Eukaryota; Viridiplantae; Streptophyta; Magnoliopsida; Solanales; Solanaceae
Gene name: UBP1-associated protein 2C-like
Exons: 3
Source: RefSeq, a predicted model, not a curated record